GAUGAACGCUGGCGGCGUGCCUAAUACAUGCAAGUAGAACGCUGAAGAGAGGAGCUUGCUCUUCUUAGGUGAGUUGCGAACGGGUGAGUAACGCGUAGGUAACCUGCCUUGUAGCGUGGGAUAACUAUUGGAAACGAUAGCUAAUACCGGAUAACAUUGGGUAACACAUGUCUUUUAUUUGAAAGGCGCAAUUGCUCCACUACAAGAUGGACCUGCGUGGUAUUAGCUAGUAGGUGAGGUAAUGGCUUACCUAGGCGACGAUGCGUAGCCGACCUGAGAGGGUGAUCGGCCACACUGGAACUGAGACACGGUCCAGACCCCUACGGGAGGCAGCAGUAGGGAAUCUUGCGCAAUGGGCGAACGCCUGACGGAGCAACGCCGCGUGAGUGAUGAGGGUCUUCGGAUCGUAAAACUCUGUUAUUAGGGAAGAACAAAUGUGUAAGUAACUAUGCACGUCUUGACGGUACCUAAUCAGAAAGCCACGGCUAACUACGUG
This 496-nucleotide ribosomal RNA is filed under the name uncultured bacterium. RNAcentral describes it as "partial 16S ribosomal RNA". It matches the Rfam family "Bacterial small subunit ribosomal RNA", at positions 28 to 507 of the family's 1533-position model. The record is from RNAcentral.